UCGUUAGAGCAACCUUGACAUACACAUUGCUGACUAUCUCAACAAUAAUAAUUGAAAAAGAAACAUCUGUUUUAAAACACGUAGCAAUUUUUCUCGUAGUGUAAAAACAAAUGUCACCAAGUAACUGCGAUGCAAUGAUCUUUAAAUAUGUCUAGUCAGGUCUUUAAUUGUAAUACUUGCGAUACGCAGUAACCACACAGCAAAUAUGUUUUCCAGACAUAUACACAAAUCUUAAAGUUAUCUUCCUUUCGAAGAUAAAAACAAUUUUCAAUCCAUAAGUAUGUCGAAGAAAUUGAAACGAACUUUGAAAGAAGAAAAUGAAGAAUGGGAAUUACAAUAUUUUUUAGUGAAUAGUGGAGGCAAAAUGUCUUGUUUGCUUUGUGAUACCGCAAUUGUAACAGUUAAGAAAUUCAAUGCACAGCAGCAUUAUGUUCUUCAUAAAGGCAAAAAAAUAUACCAAAUUAGAGGGUGAAUCCCGAAAGAUAGCACUGCUGAAACUGAAAGAUGGAAAGCAAAAGCAAAGACAAUUUUUCCAUUCUGUGUUACAUCAAGGAAAUGGUGCGACAGAAGCCAGCUAUAAAGAUGCAUAUUUGCUUGGAAAAUAGGACCAAUUGAUACUAAGAACCACUAUGUUAGAACCUGAUAUCAAAAUGUUUUCUCAAAAAAAAAAAAAAAGAAGCAAACUCAAAGAAGUCGUUAAUUUGAAUAACGAGUAAAUACAUACCUAAAUAAAAUAUUUCAAAAUUUCAUA
Molecule: long non-coding RNA, 751 nt
Organism: Octopus bimaculoides (California two-spot octopus)
Lineage: Eukaryota; Metazoa; Mollusca; Cephalopoda; Octopoda; Octopodidae
Source: RefSeq, a predicted model, not a curated record